GUGAACGCUGGCGGUAGGCCUAACCCAUGCACGUCGAACGGCAGCACCGUAAGAGCUUGCUCUUACGGGUGGCGAGUGGCGGACGGGUGAGGAAUACAUCGGAAUCUACUUUUUCGUGGGGGAUAACGUAGGGAAACUUACGCUAAUACCGCAUACGACCUACGGGUGAAAGCAGGGGAUCUUCGGACCUUGCGCGAUUGAAUGAGCCGAUGUCGGAUUAGCUAGUUGGCGGGGUAAAGGCCCACCAAGGCGACGAUCCGUAGCUGGUCUGAGAGGAUGAUCAGCCACACUGGAACUGAGACACGGUCCAGACUCCUACGGGAGGCAGCAGUGGGGAAUAUUGGACAAUGGGCGCAAGCCUGAUCCAGCCAUACCGCGUGGGUGAAGAAGGCCUUCGGGUUGUAAAGCCCUUUUGUUGGGAAAGAAAAGCAGCAGGUUAAUACCCCGCUGUUCUGACGGUACCCAAAGAAUAAGCACCGGCUAACUUCGUG
Molecule: ribosomal RNA, 491 nt
Filed under: uncultured bacterium
Lineage: Bacteria
Description: partial 16S ribosomal RNA
Rfam family: Bacterial small subunit ribosomal RNA
Source: RNAcentral